UACGAAGGGGGCUAGCGUUGCUCGGAAUCACUGGGCCUAAAGCAUCCGUAGCCGGUUCUACAAGUCUUCCGUUAAAUCCAGCUGCUUAACAGAUGGGCUGCGGAAGAUACUAUGGAGCUAGGAGGCGGGAGAGGCAAGCGGUACUCGAUGGGUAGGGGUAAAAUCCGUUGAUCCAUUGAAGACCACCAGUGGCGAAGGCGGCUUGCCAGAACGCGCUCGACGGUGAGGGAUGAAAGCUGGGGGAGCAAACCGG
This 253-nucleotide ribosomal RNA is filed under the name uncultured bacterium. Its description in RNAcentral is "partial 16S ribosomal RNA". It matches the Rfam family "Bacterial small subunit ribosomal RNA", at positions 524 to 776 of the family's 1533-position model. The record is from RNAcentral.